RNAcentral lists this ribosomal RNA (347 nucleotides) under Pantoea sp. RNAcentral's name for it is "bacterial SSU rRNA". It matches the Rfam family "Bacterial small subunit ribosomal RNA", at positions 1035 to 1382 of the family's 1533-position model. The record is from RNAcentral. Lineage: Bacteria; Pseudomonadati; Pseudomonadota; Gammaproteobacteria; Enterobacterales; Erwiniaceae.
CAGGUGCUGCAUGGCUGUCGUCAGCUCGUGUUGUGAAAUGUUGGGUUAAGUCCCGCAACGAGCGCAACCCUUAUCCUUUGUUGCCAGCGAUUCGGUCGGGAACUCAAAGGAGACUGCCGGUGAUAAACCGGAGGAAGGUGGGGAUGACGUCAAGUCAUCAUGGCCCUUACGAGUAGGGCUACACACGUGCUACAAUGGCGCAUACAAAGAGAAGCGACCUCGCGAGAGCAAGCGGACCUCACAAAGUGCGUCGUAGUCCGGAUCGGAGUCUGCAACUCGACUCCGUGAAGUCGGAAUCGCUAGUAAUCGUGGAUCAGAAUGCCACGGUGAAUACGUUCCCGGGCCUU